UACGAAGGGGGCUAGCGUUGCUCGGAAUCACUGGGCGUAAAGGGUGCGUAGGCGGGUCUUUAAGUCAGAGGUGAAAUCCUGGAGCUCAACUCCAGAACUGCCUUUGAUACUGAGGAUCUUGAGUACGGGAGAGGUGAGUGGAACUGCGAGUGUAGAGGUGAAAUUCGUAGAUAUUCGCAAGAACACCAGUGGCGAAGGCGGCUCACCGGCCCGUUACUGACGCUGAGGCACGAAAGCGUGGGGAGCAAACAGG
Molecule: ribosomal RNA, 253 nt
Filed under: uncultured bacterium
Lineage: Bacteria
Description: partial 16S ribosomal RNA
Rfam family: Bacterial small subunit ribosomal RNA
Source: RNAcentral